RNAcentral lists this ribosomal RNA (446 nucleotides) under uncultured bacterium. RNAcentral's name for it is "partial 16S ribosomal RNA". It matches the Rfam family "Bacterial small subunit ribosomal RNA", at positions 331 to 793 of the family's 1533-position model. The record is from RNAcentral.
CCAGACUCCUACGGGAGGCAGCAGUGGGGGAUAUUGCACAAUGGGGGGAACCCUGAUGCGGCGACGCCGCGUGGGUGAAGGAGUAUUUCGGUAUGUAAAGCCCUAUCGGCAGGGAAGAAGCAAGACGGUACCUGACUAAGAAGCCCCGGCUAACUACGUGCCAGCAGCCGCGGGAAUACGUAGGGGGCGAGCGUUAUCCGGAUUCACUGGGUGUAAAGGGAGCGUAGACGGCCAAGCAAGCCAGGGGUGAAAGCCCGGGGCCCAACCCCGGGACUGCCCUUGGAACUGCUUGGCUGGAGUGCGGGAGGGGCAGGCGGAAUUCCUGGUGUAGCGGUGAAAUGCGUAGAUAUCAGGAGGAACGCCGGCGGCGAAGGCGGCCUGCUGGACCGCUACUGACGUUGAGGCUCGAAAGCGUGGGGAGCGCACAGGAUUAGAUACCCCGGUAA